RNAcentral lists this ribosomal RNA (870 nucleotides) under uncultured archaeon. Its description in RNAcentral is "bacterial SSU rRNA". It matches the Rfam family "Archaeal small subunit ribosomal RNA", at positions 1 to 879 of the family's 1478-position model. The record is from RNAcentral.
CUCCGGUUGAUCCUGCCGGACCCGACUGCUAUCAGAGUGGGACUAAGCCAUGCGAGUCAACAUAGCAAUAUGUGGCAUACGGCUCAGUAACACGUAGUCAACAUGCCCAGGGGACGUGGAUAACCUCGGGAAACUGAGGAUAAACCGCGAUAGGUCAUCACUUCUGGAAUGGGUAAUGACUUAAAUCUAUAUGGCCCCUGGAUUGGACUGCGGCCGAUCAGGCUGUUGGUGAGGUAAUGGCCCACCAAACCUGUAACCGGUACGGGCUCUGAGAGGAGGAGCCCGGAGAUGGGCACUGAGACAAGGGCCCAGGCCCUAUGGGGCGCAGCAGGCGCGAAACCUCUGCAAUAGGCGAAAGCUUGACAGGGUUACUCUGAGUGAUUUCCGUUAAGGAGAUCUUUUGGCACCUCUAAAAAUGGUGCAGAAUAAGGGGUGGGCAAGUCUGGUGUCAGCCGCCGCGGUAAUACCAGCACCCCGAGUGGUCGGGACGUUUAUUGGGCCUAAAGCAUCCGUAGCCGGUUCUACAAGUCUUCCGUUAAAUCCACCUGCUUAACAGAUGGGCUGCGGAAGAUACUAUAGAGCUAGGAGGCGGGAGAGGCAAGCGGUACUCGAUGGGUAGGGGUAAAAUCCGUUGAUCCAUUGAAGACCACCAGUGGCGAAGGCGGCUUGCCAGAACGCGCUCGACGGUGAGGGAUGAAAGCUGGGGGAGCAAACCGGAUUAGAUACCCGGGUAGUCCCAGCUGUAAACGAUGCAGACUCGGUGAUGAGUUGGCUUAUUGCUAACUCAGUGCCGCAGGGAAGCCGUUAAGUUUGCCGCCUGGGGAGUACGGUCGCAAGACUGAAACUUAAAGGAAAUGGGCGGGGGAGCCC